UACGGGGGGGGCAAGCGUUGUUCGGAAUUACUGGGCGUAAAGGGCUCGUAGGCGGCCAACUAAGUCAGACGUGAAAUCCCCGGGCUUAACCUGGGAACUGCAUUUGUGACUGCACGGCUAGAGUGUGUCAGAGGGGGGUAGAAUUCCACGUGUAGCAGUGAAAUGCGUAGAGAUGUGGAGGAACACCGAUGGCGAAGGCAGCCCCCUGGGCUGAGAUUGACGCUCAGGCACGAAAGCGUGGGGAGCAAACAGG
Molecule: ribosomal RNA, 253 nt
Filed under: uncultured bacterium
Lineage: Bacteria
Description: partial 16S ribosomal RNA
Rfam family: Bacterial small subunit ribosomal RNA
Source: RNAcentral